UCUCCGUAGGUGAACCUGCGGAGGGAUCAUUACCGAGUGAGGGCCUCUGGCCCGACCUCCAACCCUUUGUUAUCAAAACCACUGUUGCCUCGGGGGCGACCCUGCCGCUUCGGCGGUGCGGCGCCCCCGGAGGCCAUUAAACACUGCAUCAUUGCGUCGGAGUUAAAGUAAAUUAAACAAAACUUUCAACAACGGAUCUCUUGGUUCCAGCAUCGAUGAAGAACGCAGC
This 229-nucleotide unclassified non-coding RNA is filed under the name uncultured fungus. RNAcentral's name for it is "sequence contains ITS1, 5.8S rRNA gene". The stretch from base 181 to 229 matches the Rfam family "5.8S ribosomal RNA", at positions 1 to 49 of the family's 154-position model. The record is from RNAcentral. Lineage: Eukaryota; Fungi.